UUUUUUACCAGUUUUAAAAGUUAUACUUAAGACAUGAUUGCUUUCUCAUUGUAUUUGUGAUCUAAAGGCUGAGGACCUGCCUUCAAUAAACAGAGAAUUAAAUAUUACUUCCCACCACAUUUUGGUAAAAAAUGGCCAAUGGCUUUUCAAUCCCUUAGGUCAGUGCAAUGCAGCUAAUUAGGCCUAAAAGGUUGAACCUGGCACCACGAACUCACACUCCUGCAAUCAAGCAGCCUUGAUUGAACAGAUGACACUUGUUAUCUGAAGUCUAGCUCAGCCAGUCACACCUUCCUUGUGUGCAUCUAGUGGUAAUCACUUUGAAAUGGAGUUAGUUUUGAAUAUCUAUUAUACAGAUGCUUGAAUAGCUGUCAAUGGUCCUAUAAACUGUAUAGUUUAAAAUAUUGAUUUAUCUGCUCAGGAUACAGCUACACACGUCAAAUACAGCUUUUCCAUUUUCACUAUGAGUUGUGGGACGUGCAUACGGAAGUGCAUACAACCCGAAGUUCUUCACAUUGUCCAGGCUCUUCUUUCAGAAAUCAAUUUUAGACCGGUGUCAGCUGGAUUUCCCAAAAAAUCACUGACUUUGAUUCAGCUUCACAGACAAGAGCAUAGACCACAAAGACAUCAUAUAAAAGGUUUCCUGGGCUGGUUCUCUGGAAGAGCUUGUUUGUCUUUGGGACUUUCAUAAUUAUACAGAUAUGCUGGUUCUGGAAUCGGAGCCAAUCAAGGCAUUCUUUUCUUCAGCAGAAUUUUUUAAAGCGAUUACAUGUGGUGAGUUCU
Long non-coding RNA from Anguilla rostrata (American eel), 780 nucleotides. RefSeq lists it as uncharacterized. NCBI's taxonomy places the organism in Eukaryota, Metazoa, Chordata, Actinopteri, Anguilliformes, Anguillidae. The record is from RefSeq and is a predicted model, not a curated record. The transcript is spliced from 3 exons.